This is a long non-coding RNA of Pogona vitticeps (central bearded dragon), 2249 nucleotides long. The record is from Ensembl. NCBI's taxonomy places the organism in Eukaryota, Metazoa, Chordata, Lepidosauria, Squamata, Agamidae.
AUGUGAGUUGCAAAGUGAGCAUAGGUGGGGAAGCAGACAACUUUAAAUUCAUUAUCAUAACAAUAGUUAUGUCCUCUCAAGUCAAUUCCAGCUGGUGGCAACCCUCACCAAGAUGCCUGUAUUUCCUUCGCAGAGAACAAUCCUCUACUUGAAAGAUUGCCAGUUAUUGUCUAUUUGAAGGCGCCCUCUGUUUGAAGGAGCUGCCCGGUCUAAGAGUAUGAAUAGAUAGAGGAAUUUGGGGUGAUCUAAGUCAUGUUUAAAAGGCUUUUAUUUUUGGUGCAAUCUAUUUUGUCUCACACUUGAGCAAUCAUUCCAUUCUUAUGGGAGAUGUUUCUUCUCCUGUGAGAAGCAUCCAGAUAGCACUCCCUUGCAAAGUCAAGGCAAAGAUGAUGGGGAAUGGAUGGAUAGAUGGAUGGAGAAAUAGACUAACAGGGAUAAGGAACUUGUGAAGAUGGCUAGUCCAUCAGAAACAUGAAUGGGUCCAUGUCUUCCCUUCCUGCCUUAGCUCUUCCUGGUUGCCCUGGCUGAUCUUGGGUAAUGACAUCAUCUGACAUCAUCAUAUUCUAUGGUGAUUAUGCUCCCUGCCCCUGCCCCCAGGUUACCAUAGGAACAACCAUAAACAAUUCUGCAUCAUCACCAUUCCACUGCCUACUCCGUACCGGACGCUUCAUCGGUUAGGAGUGUUGGAAGUGGUCUCCUGUGAUUAGGAAAAUACACUUCCCCAAUCAACUUCUUCACCAUGGCAGGAGCACCCAACGAGCUUAAACUCAAUACCAAGGCAAAGAGGGAAAAAAGCCCAGAAAGUGAAGAGGAACGAAGCAGGAAAGGGACAAAGACAAAGAAAAGCUCAGAUCCCCCCAAAGCUCCAAAUGCUUGCAGUUCCUUCACCAGCGGCAAAAAUGGAGGCAGAGGUGCAAAAAAGGCAGCAAAGGACCCUGCAAACCGAGAGGUCAAUCUCAUGAUGCAGAGUGCUGGGUCUGGAAAAGAUCUUGCCCCAAGCAAGGCAUUGAAAACCGCGAAAAAGAAGGCGACAACCUCAGUGACAGCAGGGGUGGGACCUAAGCAAGUGGCCACUCAGGAGCCCCCUAAGCCACGUCGUAGGAGCCAUCUGGCCAUGCAGAUGACUGAGUCCCUGAACGUCUUCUACCCACUGAGGAAGGGCAAACCCCAGCUGGCGCCAGUGAAGAAACAGCUCCCUCUGGCUCCCUCCGCUCCAGAAUACCCAUUCCCACUGCCAGAAACAUGGGCAAGACCCCUGCCUUCCCUGCCAAGGAUCCCCAAAAUUUCAGCAUCCCCCUCAGGCCCUCAGCCACCCUCGCAGCCACCAUCAAAAUCUGUGGCAUCCUCUAUUCCGGUUAUAGCCUACAGAGCCUGCAAUCUUAUCCCACCCCCGCAAACCGAAGGCCUCCCCAUCCCAGCUAUACGAGGCCCCUGGAUGGAGACGGGCGGCCAGCACCUCCAUGAAGACCAGCGCUCCCCUUCCUCAUCCCCUCAUGCCUGGGCAAAGGCACUGGAGGGAAGCCAUCAACGCCCAGACACCCUUGGUCAUUGUGCGACAGCUUUGGGGCCACAUAAGAAGCCUCACAGUUCCCUCGUCAGUGGCAAAAAAGGUGGCAGAAGUGCCACCUGUUUUGACGACGUCGGAGAACAGUCUCAGGAGCCCCAAGCCAAGACAGACAUGCCCGUCUCAAGACCCUCCCAAGGGAAACCAUCUGAGGCACCCAAGGAGCCUAAACUCAAUACCAAGGCAAAGAGGGGUAAAAGCCCAGCAAGUGAAGGGGAACCAAGCAGGAAAGUGAGGAAGACAAAUGAAAGCUCAGAUCCCACCACUGCCUCUUGGGUGUUCUAGAUAGGAUCGCAUUCCAGCUCCCAUCAGCCUCAGUUAAAAAGGGCAAUGGCUAAAAGAUGAUGUAAUUUGGAGUCCAGCCACAUCCUGAAGGCUGCAUCCCCACCUGCACAUCAGAAUCCAUAGCAGUCUCUGGAGAAGAGGCUUAACUUAGUAGUAGAACAUCUGUUCUGCAUACCAAAGGACCAAGAUGAAACUCCUGUGAUCUUCAUUUAAAAUUAUUUUUAAAAACUGAGAUGGGCAACUCUGAUAUAUUCAGAAGGGCACAGCGCCUAAAAGGCAUCAAAGGACAUGUCUAUGACAACUGUAUUGUGGAUCUUACUUAUAAACUAUUCCAUAUCCUGAGCUCCAGAUUUAAGAUUCUUGUGGCAUUGAAUAAAACCUAGUGGUUGUAAAACUGGCA